AUUGAACGCUGGCGGCAUGCUUUACACAUGCAAGUCGAACGGCAGCGCGGGCUUCGGCCUGGCGGCGAGUGGCGAACGGGUGAGUAAUACAUCGGAACGUGCCCAGUAGUGGGGGAUAGCUCGGCGAAAGCCGGAUUAAUACCGCAUACGACCUGAGGGUGAAAGCGGGGGAUCUUCGGACCUCGCGCUAUUGGAGCGGCCGAUGGCAGAUUAGCUAGUUGGUGGGGUAAAGGCCUACCAAGGCGACGAUCUGUAGCUGAUCUGAGAGGACGACCAGCCACACUGGGACUGAGACACGGCCCAGACUCCUACGGGAGGCAGCAGUGGGGAAUUUUGGACAAUGGGCGAAAGCCUGAUCCAGCAAUGCCGCGUGUGUGAUGAAGGCCUUCGGGUUGUAAAGCACUUUUGGCGGGAACGAAAAGGACUGUGCCAAUACCACGGUUCGAUGACGGUACCCGCAGAAUAAGCACCGGCUAACUACGUG
This 484-nucleotide ribosomal RNA is filed under the name uncultured bacterium. Its description in RNAcentral is "partial 16S ribosomal RNA". It matches the Rfam family "Bacterial small subunit ribosomal RNA", at positions 29 to 507 of the family's 1533-position model. The record is from RNAcentral.